UAGCUUUGUCCUAAGUCAAACUUCUUUAAGUUUGAACAACUAUAUGGAAAGAAAUGCUAACAUUUACAAAAUCAUAUAUACAGUACAAAAAUAUAAUUCAUGGCUAAUCUAAUGAAAUUAUUUUGGUGUUGUAGAUGUCAAUAUAUUUUUCUAUAAACUUGUUCAGACUUAAAGGUUGACUUAGGACAAACUAGA
RNAcentral lists this microRNA precursor (195 nucleotides) under Hordeum vulgare subsp. vulgare (domesticated barley). RNAcentral describes it as "MIR1435 microRNA precursor family". It matches the Rfam family "MIR1435 microRNA precursor family". The record is from Rfam by way of RNAcentral. Lineage: Eukaryota; Viridiplantae; Streptophyta; Magnoliopsida; Poales; Poaceae.